Molecule: long non-coding RNA, 465 nt
Organism: Mastomys coucha (southern multimammate mouse)
Lineage: Eukaryota; Metazoa; Chordata; Mammalia; Rodentia; Muridae
Exons: 3
Source: RefSeq, a predicted model, not a curated record
UCUGCAAUGAUCUGGUUGUAUUGAAAAAGAAUUUGCAGGAGACCUCUAGGGGGUUUUAUCAAGAAACAUGCAUCUGGCAACAUUGUGAACAGAGAUCUGUGUUCCAUGUAUCUGGUGCUGGCAGAGGCCAAAAGAGCACACAGAAUGGCCUGGGACAAAAGCUCCAAAUGUUUUUGAGAUAUUUUGUGGAUGCUGAGGAAUAGACUAGAGUCCUCUGCAAGAGUAACAGUUGCUCUCAACAGCUGUGUCAUCUCUCCGGUCCCUGUUAAUUUGGAGAUCUAGUACUGAAGAAAACAAAUAAUUAUAGUUUCCAAUAAUUGGAAAAUGAGCUGGAGAAAGGAGGGUUCUUCUUCAUAAAGAGGGAACAUUCACAAAGAGAAAUAAAUCUGUUUCAUCAGGAUCUACUCUCAUAUCCUCAUUAACAUACCAAUUUUGAAGAGAUUCAAACCAAGACAAAUCUUGUCA